RNAcentral lists this ribosomal RNA (253 nucleotides) under uncultured bacterium. Its description in RNAcentral is "partial 16S ribosomal RNA". It matches the Rfam family "Bacterial small subunit ribosomal RNA", at positions 524 to 776 of the family's 1533-position model. The record is from RNAcentral.
UACGUAGGGUGCAAGCGUUAAUCGGAAUUACUGGGCGUAAAGCGUGCGCAGGCGGUGAUGUAAGACAGAUGUGAAAUCCCCGGGCUCAACCUGGGAACUGCAUUUGUGACUGCAUCGCUGGAGUACGGCAGAGGGGGAUGGAAUUCCGCGUGUAGCAGUGAAAUGCGUAGAUAUGCGGAGGAACACCGAUGGCGAAGGCAAUCCCCUGGGCCUGUACUGACGCUGAGACGCGAAAGCGUGGGGAGCGAACAGG